UGCUGUACCAGAAAUGCUGUGAUAUUGCUAAAACAUCUGGCGAUAAGAAGAAACAUGCAGAGAGCUUGAAUUCACUCGGAUUCCGUCGUCUCUGUGACGUGUCCCACAGCAAAGACAGCCCAGAAGAAACCCUUGUUACCCUUACAAAGUUUCAGGAAGCAUAUGACAUGCGCAGCACAUUGCCGGAGGAAGAACGAAAGUCCCAAACGCAUGCACAUACCGCUAGUAAGCUUGGAGUAUGUUUUGUACUGCAGGGAGACGAGGAAAAAGGACGAAAGCUCAUACAGGAAGGAAUUUCAAUAAGAGAGUCUUUAUGUGACCAUUUGUAUCUUGCUGCUGGAUAUUGUGACCUUGGAAAUUCCCAUCGAUUGU
Stylophora pistillata is the source of this 372-nucleotide long non-coding RNA. NCBI's taxonomy places the organism in Eukaryota, Metazoa, Cnidaria, Anthozoa, Scleractinia, Pocilloporidae. The record is from RefSeq and is a predicted model, not a curated record.